RNAcentral lists this long non-coding RNA (416 nucleotides) under Gallus gallus (chicken). Lineage: Eukaryota; Metazoa; Chordata; Aves; Galliformes; Phasianidae. The record is from RNAcentral.
CUCUCUUCAGCAUUGACUGGAUAUGCACUAGGCGCUGGGUAUGAGCUUUAAACCUGUCAUCUGAGUCACUCUCACUCUCACUGUUCUCAUCUCUCAGGGAUGCAGUCUCAAUGUUGGACAUAGAAAGUUUCUUCAAUCGUUUUUUCCCUCUUUUUGCACUGUAGAUGGAAUUGAUUCUCUGGACAAGCUUUGGGAUCCUCCUGGCCCGGCGUGUAGACAGCAGCUCACUUGCAGUACUCAGACUGUCCUCAUUAAGGCUGGAGGGGGAGGAGGGAAUGCCAAGCUGAGCCAGCAGCAGCAUAUCAUCAUGGCUGUGCCGCUUGGGUAGCCGUGGUAAGCGGUGGGUCUUCCUUUCUGACCAGUUCCCAACGCGCAGAGACUGGCUGCUGGGCUUUGAAGGUAGCUGGGGAGGUGAU